RNAcentral lists this small RNA (729 nucleotides) under uncultured fungus. RNAcentral describes it as "eukaryotic LSU rRNA". The stretch from base 186 to 340 matches the Rfam family "5.8S ribosomal RNA". The record is from RNAcentral. Lineage: Eukaryota; Fungi.
AUUAUCGAAAUCCAUGAGUGAGGGUUGCUGCUGGUCUCCUCCGAGGGGGGCAACGUGCACACCCGAGCUCACAACAAACCCCCCAUGGGCUUUCGGGCCCGUGGAACCCCCCACAACACCCCGUCUUAUACAGAAUGUUUUUUUUGAAUAGUACAUCGCCUUAAAAAAGUGAUGGAACCUUAUACAACUUUCAACAACGGAUCUCUUGGCUCUCGCAUCGAUGAAGAACGCAGCGAAAUGCGAUAAGUAAUGUGAAUUGCAGAUUUUCAGUGAAUCAUCGAAUCUUUGAACGCACCUUGCGCCCCUUGGUAUUCCGAGGGGCAUGCCUGUUUGAGUGUCAUUAAAUCCUCAACCCCAUUGACCUCUGUCGUGUUUUGGGGCUUGGACUUGGGGCGUGCUGGCGAUCUACGUCGGCUCCCCUUUAAAUGCAUCAGUUGAAGGAGGAGCUCGAUCAUUUUCUCUCUUUUGUCGGGGGAUCAUGGACCGUUCGGUGUGAUAAUCCUGUUGCGCCGUCGGACUGCGGUCGGGUUUCGCUUUUGCUUCCAACCAAAAGGCCGUCCUCGUGAUGACCAAUUUUUUGAAUUUUGACCUCAAAUCAGGUAGGACUACCCGCUGAACUUAAGCAUAUCAAUAAGCGGAGGAAAAGAAACUAACAAGGAUUCCCCUAGUAACUGCGAGUGAAGCGGGAAGAGCUCAAAUUUAAAAUCUGGCGGUCCACCCGGCCGUCCG